RNAcentral lists this ribosomal RNA (467 nucleotides) under uncultured bacterium. Its description in RNAcentral is "partial 16S ribosomal RNA". It matches the Rfam family "Bacterial small subunit ribosomal RNA", at positions 28 to 506 of the family's 1533-position model. The record is from RNAcentral.
GACGAACGCUGGCGGCGUGCUUAACACAUGCAAGUCGAACGGAAAGGCCCUGCUUUUGUGGGGUGCUCGAGUGGCGAACGGGUGAGUAACACGUGAGUAACCUGCCCUUGACUUUGGGAUAACUUCAGGAAACUGGGGCUAAUACCGGAUAGGAGCUCCUGCUGCAUGGUGGGGGUUGGAAAGUUUCGGCGGUUGGGGAUGGACUCGCGGCUUAUCAGCUUGUUGGUGGGGUAGUGGCUUACCAAGGCUUUGACGGGUAGCCGGCCUGAGAGGGUGACCGGCCACAUUGGGACGGAGAAACGGCCCAGACUCCUACGGGGGGCAGCAGUGGGGAAUUUUGCACAAUGGGCGGAAGCCUGAUGCAGCAACGCCGGGUGGGGGAUGGCGGCCUUCGGGUUGUAAACCGCUUUCGCCUGUGACGAAGCGUGAGGGACGGGAAUGGGGAAAGAAGCACCGGCUAACUACGU